This 442-nucleotide ribosomal RNA is filed under the name uncultured bacterium. RNAcentral describes it as "partial 16S ribosomal RNA". It matches the Rfam family "Bacterial small subunit ribosomal RNA", at positions 338 to 795 of the family's 1533-position model. The record is from RNAcentral.
CCUACGGGAGGCAGCAGUGGGGGAUAUUGGACAAUGGGGGGAACCCUGAUCCAGCGACGCCGCGUGAGUGAAGAAGUAUCUCGGUAUGUAAAGCUCUAUCAGCAGGGAGGAAGGAAUGACGGUACCUGAGUAAGAAGCCCCGGCUAACUACGUGCCAGCAGCCGCGGUAAGACGGAGGGGGCAAGCGUUAUCCGGAAUUACUGGGUGUAAAGGGAGCGAAGACGGGGGUGUAAGUCUGGAGUGAAAGGCGGGGGCCCAACCCCGGGACUGCUCUGGAAACUAUGUGACUGGAGUGUAGGAGAGGGGAGCGGAAUUCCGAGUGUAGCGGUGAAAUGCGUAGAUAUUAGGAGGAACACCAGUGGCGAAGGCGGCUCACUGGACAGUAACUGACGUUGAGGUUCGAAAGCGUGGGGAGCAAACAGGAUUAGAUACCCUGGUAGUC